GGGGAAUAUUGGACAAUGGGCGAAAGCCUGAUCCAGCCAUGCCGCGUGUGUGAAGAAGGUCUUCGGAUUGUAAAGCACUUUAAGUUGGGAGGAAGGGUUGUAGAUUAAUACUCUGCAAUUUUGACGUUACCGACAGAAUAAGCACCGGCUAACUUCGUGCCAGCAGCCGCGGUAAUACGAAGGGUGCAAGCGUUAAUCGGAAUUACUGGGCGUAAAGCGCGCGUAGGUGGUUCGUUAAGUUGGAUGUGAAAGCCCCGGGCUCAACCUGGGAACUGCAUCCAAAACUGGCGAGCUAGAGUACGGUAGAGGGUGGUGGAAUUUCCUGUGUAGCGGUGAAAUGCGUAGAUAUAGGAAGGAACACCAGUGGCGAAGGCGACCACCUGGACUGAUACUGACACUGAGGUGCGAAAGCGUGGGGAGCAAAC
Molecule: ribosomal RNA, 425 nt
Filed under: uncultured bacterium
Lineage: Bacteria
Description: bacterial SSU rRNA
Rfam family: Bacterial small subunit ribosomal RNA
Source: RNAcentral